RNAcentral lists this transfer RNA (73 nucleotides) under Chloroflexota bacterium. RNAcentral's name for it is "tRNA-Val". It matches the Rfam family "tRNA". Rfam says of the family: Transfer RNA (tRNA) molecules are approximately 80 nucleotides in length. Their secondary structure includes four short double-helical elements and three loops (D, anti-codon, and T loops). Lineage: Bacteria; Bacillati; Chloroflexota. The record is from RNAcentral.
GGGCUGUUGGCUCAGUGGUUAGAGCACUCGGUUCACAUCCGAGGGGUCCCCAGUUCGAAUCUGGGACAGCCCA